RNAcentral lists this ribosomal RNA (2892 nucleotides) under Salmonella enterica subsp. enterica serovar Dublin str. SA20093032. RNAcentral's name for it is "bacterial LSU rRNA". It matches the Rfam family "Bacterial large subunit ribosomal RNA". Lineage: Bacteria; Pseudomonadati; Pseudomonadota; Gammaproteobacteria; Enterobacterales; Enterobacteriaceae. The record is from RNAcentral.
GGGUUGUGAGGUUAAGCGACUAAGCGUACACGGUGGAUGCCCUGGCAGUCAGAGGCGAUGAAGGGCGUGCUAAUCUGCGAUAAGCGCCGGUAAGGUGAUAUGAACCGUUAUAACCGGCGAUACCCGAAUGGGGAAACCCAGUGUGAUUCGUCACACUAUCAUUAACUGAAUCCAUAGGUUAAUGAGGCGAACCGGGGGAACUGAAACAUCUAAGUACCCCGAGGAAAAGAAAUCAACCGAGAUUCCCCCAGUAGCGGCGAGCGAACGGGGAGGAGCCCAGAGCCUGAAUCAGCAUGUGUGUUAGUGGAAGCGUCUGGAAAGGCGCGCGAUACAGGGUGACAGCCCCGUACACAAAAGCGCAUGUGCUGUGAGCUCGAUGAGUAGGGCGGGACACGUGGUAUCCUGUCUGAAUAUGGGGGGACCAUCCUCCAAGGCUAAAUACUCCUGACUGACCGAUAGUGAACCAGUACCGUGAGGGAAAGGCGAAAAGAACCCCGGCGAGGGGAGUGAAAAAGAACCUGAAACCGUGUACGUACAAGCAGUGGGAGCACAGGUUUACCUGUGUGACUGCGUACCUUUUGUAUAAUGGGUCAGCGACUUAUAUUCUGUAGCAAGGUUAACCGAAUAGGGGAGCCGGAGGGAAACCGAGUCUUAAUUGGGCGUUAAGUUGCAGGGUAUAGACCCGAAACCCGGUGAUCUAGCCAUGGGCAGGUUGAAGGUUGGGUAACACUAACUGGAGGACCGAACCGACUAAUGUUGAAAAAUUAGCGGAUGACCUGUGGCUGGGGGUGAAAGGCCAAUCAAACCGGGAGAUAGCUGGUUCUCCCCGAAAGCUAUUUAGGUAGCGCCUCGUGAAUUCAUCUCCGGGGGUAGAGCACUGUUUCGGCUAGGGGGCCAUCCCGGCUUACCAACCCGAUGCAAACUGCGAAUACCGGAGAAUGUUAUCACGGGAGACACACGGCGGGUGCUAACGUCCGUCGUGAAGAGGGAAACAACCCAGACCGCCAGCUAAGGUCCCAAAGUCAUGGUUAAGUGGGAAACGAUGUGGGAAGGCCCAGACAGCCAGGAUGUUGGCUUAGAAGCAGCCAUCAUUUAAAGAAAGCGUAAUAGCUCACUGGUCGAGUCGGCCUGCGCGGAAGAUGUAACGGGGCUAAACCAUGCACCGAAGCUGCGGCAGCGACGCUUAUGCGUUGUUGGGUAGGGGAGCGUUCUGUAAGCCUGUGAAGGUGGCCUGUGAGGGUUGCUGGAGGUAUCAGAAGUGCGAAUGCUGACAUAAGUAACGAUAAAGCGGGUGAAAAGCCCGCUCGCCGGAAGACCAAGGGUUCCUGUCCAACGUUAAUCGGGGCAGGGUGAGUCGACCCCUAAGGCGAGGCCGAAAGGCGUAGUCGAUGGGAAACGGGUUAAUAUUCCCGUACUUGGUGUUACUGCGAAGGGGGGACGGAGAAGGCUAUGUUGGCCGGGCGACGGUUGUCCCGGUUUAAGCGUGUAGGUGUGUGUUCCAGGUAAAUCCGGUUCACUUUAACACUGAGGCGUGAUGACGAGGCACUACGGUGCUGAAGUAACAAAUGCCCUGCUUCCAGGAAAAGCCUCUAAGCAUCAGGUAACAUCAAAUCGUACCCCAAACCGACACAGGUGGUCAGGUAGAGAAUACCAAGGCGCUUGAGAGAACUCGGGUGAAGGAACUAGGCAAAAUGGUGCCGUAACUUCGGGAGAAGGCACGCUGACACGUAGGUGAAGUGAUUUACUCAUGGAGCUGAAGUCAGUCGAAGAUACCAGCUGGCUGCAACUGUUUAUUAAAAACACAGCACUGUGCAAACACGAAAGUGGACGUAUACGGUGUGACGCCUGCCCGGUGCCGGAAGGUUAAUUGAUGGGGUCAGCGCAAGCGAAGCUCCUGAUCGAAGCCCCGGUAAACGGCGGCCGUAACUAUAACGGUCCUAAGGUAGCGAAAUUCCUUGUCGGGUAAGUUCCGACCUGCACGAAUGGCGUAAUGAUGGCCAGGCUGUCUCCACCCGAGACUCAGUGAAAUUGAACUCGCUGUGAAGAUGCAGUGUACCCGCGGCAAGACGGAAAGACCCCGUGAACCUUUACUAUAGCUUGACACUGAACAUUGAGCCUUGAUGUGUAGGAUAGGUGGGAGGCUUUGAAGUGUGGACGCCAGUCUGCAUGGAGCCGACCUUGAAAUACCACCCUUUAAUGUUUGAUGUUCUAACGUGGACCCGUUACCCGGGUUGCGGACAGUGUCUGGUGGGUAGUUUGACUGGGGCGGUCUCCUCCUAAAGAGUAACGGAGGAGCACGAAGGUUGGCUAAUCCUGGUCGGACAUCAGGAGGUUAGUGCAAUGGCAUAAGCCAGCUUGACUGCGAGCGUGACGGCGCGAGCAGGUGCGAAAGCAGGUCAUAGUGAUCCGGUGGUUCUGAAUGGAAGGGCCAUCGCUCAACGGAUAAAAGGUACUCCGGGGAUAACAGGCUGAUACCGCCCAAGAGUUCAUAUCGACGGCGGUGUUUGGCACCUCGAUGUCGGCUCAUCACAUCCUGGGGCUGAAGUAGGUCCCAAGGGUAUGGCUGUUCGCCAUUUAAAGUGGUACGCGAGCUGGGUUUAGAACGUCGUGAGACAGUUCGGUCCCUAUCUGCCGUGGGCGCUGGAGAACUGAGGGGGGCUGCUCCUAGUACGAGAGGACCGGAGUGGACGCAUCACUGGUGUUCGGGUUGUCAUGCCAAUGGCACUGCCCGGUAGCUAAAUGCGGAAGAGAUAAGUGCUGAAAGCAUCUAAGCACGAAACUUGCCCCGAGAUGAGUUCUCCCUGAGACUUAAAGUCUCCUGAAGGAACGUUGAAGACGACGACGUUGAUAGGCCGGGUGUGUAAGCGCAGCGAUGCGUUGAGCUAACCGGUA